CCUUUCUUUUCCCUUCCUCAAUAUAAAUACCCUGGGGCAGUUUCUUUUCUUUUUGGUAUGAAUGUGAUGAUCUUUCAGGCCUGCGAUUGGCUCUGCGGCUUGUCAUCGGGGACACACCUCCUGGCGAGGGGCCACCGCCUCCCCCCUCUUGUGAAAGCUUCCCCUUGUAACAAGUGAGCGUAAUUACAUCAGUUACUCACUAGAGCACAGACCUGCUUUAAAUUUUGGCCUCUCUGAGCCUGUGAGAAGCUGAAGGACUAGAAAAUGCAGUUUCAAAGGCCUGUAACACUCUGGAGCGUGCAACUCAAGCUGGGCUUUUCCCUCCCAGGAAUGAAGACUCCCAGUCACAUGUGAGGAGGAAUGAAUAUCCCUACCAGCCACUGAAAUGGCUAAGAGAGCAGACCUGCCGCACCAGAAGAGGAUUUCCACUUUGCCAAAGCCUGGCCCACUGAAAAAAAAUGCGUAUCUGAUCCCCUUUGCUUCUAGAGGUCCUGAUCUUCAGCUGGCAGAACACAGCUUCAUCCCAUUGAAAAGCCAGUGAAGCAGAUAGGAAGAUCUUACCCCAACACAAUUCUGCUUCCUGAUGACAUGCUUGUUUCCACCCGGCAAGACAAUAAACCAAGCACUAGCAAUGGAAGAGUAGCAGACUGGCACAAAGAUCCUCCAUUCACCUCUCCUGUAGCAUUUACUAUAAACAGAGGCCAGAGCAGGGAGGUUCUUUCUCCUGUAACACAACAGUAUGGAAAGACUUCCCCCGUGACUGUAACAUGAAAAACAGAUGAAGGAGGGAGCUGCUGGGGGAGCUUAUAAUUCCCAGCUGGAAAUGCAGUCUCUUGGAUAGUGCCUUGUGAUGCUGAAAGCACCCCCAGUCUCUUAACGGCAGCUUAAAGAAGUCUGAUCACUGGGCAGCAAGGUAAGGCCCAAACUAUUCUCAGCAUCCAACUCAGACAACAUAAGGUAUCAACUACAGACUUUAAAUCCAUUUUUAAAUUUUAUUUUUUUUCUCUUUUGAAAGAAAAUGAAAAUUAAACGUGAAGCAAUGGCAAUCUGUAUCGGGGAAUGAAUUUCAGUAUAUUUGAUAAAAAGCUUCUUUUUGUUUUGUUUAAAGUAUCAAAUAACACGUGCUUCCUACCAAAGCAUUUCAGAAAGUUGAACCAAAACACUGCCUUAGCAUCUGGAACUAAAGCUUGCUCUGCGAAGUUGAAGCUAAACCUCCCUGGACUCAGAGCUCCUUCCCCAUCAGUCUGCCAGGAGUCUGGAGAAAGUCUUCAGUGAUCCAGAUUGGUGACUGUGUUUGGAUACUCCGUGACAAAGAGGUGGAGAUCUACAUGGGGCUGUACAAACCCUCUGGAAAUUGUUUGCAGCCUAGAAAAAAAGAUGAUCUGUAAUCUCUACAAGUGCGACCUUACAUUGAUUGCAAGAGAUGGGAAGAAACUCUCGUGGUUACUCUGGUGUUGCAUUGUGAUGUCUCCUUUUUCCUUCAAGAAGCUAAAGCCUGAAGAACUUGAUCACCUGAUACACUGGUGUCAGAGCCCAGCUCUCAGCCUGAGGUCCAAAGCCGCAUUUCCUGACUGACAUCGUGCACUACAUGGGCACUGCAAUGCUGCCAUUGUACCAGCUCUCAUUUUCACUUAAAGUACAAAUCAGUUGGAGCAAACCUACCCAUCUCUGUCUGAAGCAGAGCCAAGUCACAACUGAGCACCAUGUAUGAAAUACUAACUGGAGCUUUGGAAACUGAGCUGCUGUAUUUAUUCAGCCUGAGGUGAAUUCUGUCCCCAAACAACUGCAAAGGAGAAUGAACUUAUUCCAGUAAGAUCAGUUUUACCAUUUCAUCCCUCGCAAGCUUAGUUCAUAGGUCCUGUUUGUUAGCUGCACCUGAACUGCAUACAGAGGAUUUUUGCUGGGGGAUCUCUCUCAGAGGUGAAACGGUGCCUGUCCCAUUGAAUUUACAGAGAGGCUGUUUUUCUCACACAGGUUGGUAGUGGAGUUUUUGGUAAGCAGACUUUUGUUAAGCAGAGUUUUGUUUAUAAUUUCCUAUGUCAAGCGUGCUUCCAUUAAUAAGUACUCAAACUAGGAUGAGAUGUGAGUCUGAAGUGGAGGAGAACAAUCUGUUGUGGGAUGUGAGGGGGGAGCAUGGGGGAAGAGUAGGGAAGGGAAGAAAGGUUUGGGCAGAGAGGAGGUAUGGCAAUGAGGGACUGUUGGGAUGGGGAGAGAAGAGGUAACACCCAAGAGCGGUACAGUAUGUCAAAUAAAGCAUCAAGAUCACAUGUGCUGGAAGUGUUUCUCUUCCAGAAAAGAGGGCUUGUGCUGUUGGCUGCAUGCAACUGUGAUCUGCACGUGGCCAGCUCCAAAUCUACCAGUGGUUUCUCUUGAACUGGAACCAUCCAAAGGGAGCUUGCCAAAACCAUUUUUGUGGACACUCAGCAGAGAUGCUGGUUGAACUCACAUGAGAGAACUGGCCUGGCUCGGCUCCAGUCACACCCUUUUCAUGCUCACUGCUCUCGGAGUGACCAAACUAUUGUUUGCAGGACCUGAACUGCAAAGCUGCAUGCAUGCAACUGAAUCAAAGUCCCUCUGGGAGUGGGAGAUUGCCACUGAGCAUGUGCGUGUUUAUGGUCCUGCUGACGGAGCUGUAGCUGCCAUUUGUCUGGCUCAUUGCACUACAGAAGUGUGGGAUGCUGCUAGCAGUGUUGGAGGAUAGUUUUAAAUUCAGUUUGUCUUACAACAUCAGAUCUAUCACCUGGAGGAUAUGAAUCCUUCUGUGCCAGUGCCUGUCAUGCACAUUUCUACACUUAUUAUCCUGCUCUUUCAAGCGUUUUAUAUUCCCAUACAUCACAGUUAGGUCAGAACCAUAAAUAUUCACAGAUCGUGUGGCCAGAUGCUGCCCAUUCUGGUCAUAGCAGAUGUCUGAUUCAGUCUCAUGGCUCUAUAGCUCUGUAGGCCACUCAAAGUCCAAAAGUGGUUAUUACCGGUUCCACCAGAGAAAUUCUGCAAGAUACUCUGCAGUGGUUGGUUCUAGACUAACCAAGCUGGAGGGCAAAUUCCUUCUCAGCCUGACAGCCUUGAGAAUGGUUUAUCAGAAUCAAGAAUGCACAUAUUUCUGUUGGAAGUCUGACGUGUUUUAAAUAGUUCCUAUUCCAACAGAACAUUUGGAGAGCAUUAUAAGUGCUACCUUCCUCUCAAAAAAAUCUUGCUUAGCUCUUGUGCCCCACAGCACCCUGAGGCAGUGAGUUCCAGCUAAUCUGAUGGCAGUAAGGUCACAUGCAGAGUUCUGAGGUGUCCUCCUGCUGUUGGACUGUAGAAUUCGGAGUUGAGGAUAUCUUUUUUUUUUUCUUUUCUCUAGCUUGUUAAACAUUUCCAUGACAGCUCUUUCCGUCUAUCUUCUCUGCAAGCCAAAUAUUUUUCACUGCUCUGUUCUGCUCUGAGGUUAGUCUUAGAGGCCAGUUCCUCUGGGUAGGGGCAUCAAAGCAUGGCUGCAUGCAAAAGCGCUGAGGAACUCCAUCCUCUUCUUCCUCCCACUUCUCCCAGCUCUCCAUCACCAUCACAAUCACUUCUUCU
Molecule: long non-coding RNA, 3558 nt
Organism: Meleagris gallopavo (turkey)
Lineage: Eukaryota; Metazoa; Chordata; Aves; Galliformes; Phasianidae
Source: RefSeq, a predicted model, not a curated record